RNAcentral lists this ribosomal RNA (164 nucleotides) under uncultured bacterium. RNAcentral's name for it is "partial 16S rRNA". It matches the Rfam family "Bacterial small subunit ribosomal RNA", at positions 355 to 511 of the family's 1533-position model. The record is from RNAcentral.
UAGGGAAUCUUCCACAAUGGGCGAAAGCCUGAUGGAGCAACGCCGCGUGUGUGAUGAAGGGUUUCGGCUCGUAAAACACUGUUGCAAGAGAAGAAUGACAUUGAGAGUAACUGUUCAAUGUGUGACGGUAUCUUACCAGAAAGGAACGGCUAAAUACGUGCCAG